Molecule: ribosomal RNA, 253 nt
Filed under: uncultured bacterium
Lineage: Bacteria
Description: partial 16S ribosomal RNA
Rfam family: Bacterial small subunit ribosomal RNA
Source: RNAcentral
UACGUAGGGACCAAGCGUUGUUCGGAUUUACUGGGCGUAAAGGGCGCGUAGGCGGCGCGGUAAGUCACUUGUGAAAUCUCUGAGCUUAACUCAGAACGGCCAAGUGAUACUGCAGUGCUAGAGUGUGGAAGGGGCAAUCGGAAUUCUUGGUGUAGCGGUGAAAUGCGUAGAUAUCAGGAGGAACACCGGUGGCGAAGGCGGGUCUCUGGGCAGUAGCUGACGCUGAGGAGCGAAAGCGUGGGGAGCGAACAGG